AUCACUUCUCUACCUUUUGGUUAAGAUCAAGUGUAGUAUCUUCUCCUAUCAGUUUAAUAAACUUUAGGAGCUUUGUCAUUUUAAAACCACU
This is a small nuclear RNA of Oryctolagus cuniculus (rabbit), 91 nucleotides long. Its record names the gene U2. It matches the Rfam family "U2 spliceosomal RNA". Rfam says of the family: U2 is a small nuclear RNA (snRNA) component of the spliceosome (involved in pre-mRNA splicing). Complementary binding between U2 snRNA (in an area lying towards the 5' end but 3' to hairpin I) and the branchpoint sequence (BPS) of the intron results the bulging out of an unpaired adenosine, on the BPS, which initiates a nucleophilic attack at the intronic 5' splice site, thus starting the first of two transesterification reactions that mediate splicing. NCBI's taxonomy places the organism in Eukaryota, Metazoa, Chordata, Mammalia, Lagomorpha, Leporidae. The record is from Ensembl.